GUACUUGAUGUUGAUUAUCCAACGUGGAUAACUGUGGCAAUUCUAGAGCUAAUACAUGCACCAAAGCUCCGACUUUUGAACGAGCGCAUCUAUUAGAUUAAAACCAAUCGGGUUAUAAGCCCGUUAAUUGGUGACUCUGAAUAVCUAUUGHUGAUCGCAUGGUCUUGUACCGGCGACAUAUCUAUCAAGUGUCUGCCUUAUCAACUUUCGAUGGUAGUUUAUGUGCCUACCAUGGUUGUAACGGGUAACGGAGAAUAAGGGUUCGACUCCGGAGAGGGAGCCUGAGAAACGGCUACCACAUCCAAGGAAGGCAGCAGGCGCGCAAAUUACCCACUCUCAGAAUGAGGAGGUAGUGACGAAAAAUAACGAGACCGUUCUCUUUGUAGGCCGGUUAUCGGAAUGGGUACAAUUUAAACCCGUUAACGAGGAUCUAUGAGAGGGCAAGUCUGGUGCCAGCAGCCGCGGUAAUUCCAGCUCUCAAAGUGUAUAUCGUCAUUGCUGCGGUUAAAAAGCUCGUAGUUGGAUCUGCGUCUCAGGACCUGGUCCAUUCAUUGGAUGAGAACUGGGCUCCUAGGCUAAUAUUGCCAGUUUUCCUUACGUUACCUUGAUUGGUUGCGUAUGGUGGCUAGCAAGUUUACCUUGAAAAAAUUAGAGUGCUCAAUGCGGGCUAAUGCCUGAAUACUCGUGCAUGGAAUAAUGAAAUAGGAUCUCGGUUCUAUUUUGUUGGUUUUCUGAUCUGAGAUAAUGGUUAAGAGGGACGGACGGGGGCAUUCGUAUCGCUGCGUGAGAGGUGAAAUUCCGGACCGUA
This 808-nucleotide ribosomal RNA is filed under the name Filarioidea sp. GP-CH556. RNAcentral's name for it is "SSU rRNA". It matches the Rfam family "Eukaryotic small subunit ribosomal RNA", at positions 117 to 940 of the family's 1831-position model. Lineage: Eukaryota; Metazoa; Nematoda; Chromadorea; Rhabditida. The record is from RNAcentral.